GAUGAACGCUGGCGGCGUGCCUAAUACACGCAAGUCGAGCGAACAGACGAGGAGCUUGCUCCUCUGACGUUAGCGGCGGACGGGUGAGUAACACGUGGAUAACCUACCUAUAAGACUGGGAUAACUUCGGGAAACCGGAGCUAAUACCGGAUAAUAUAUUGAACCGCAUGGUUCAAUAGUGAAAGACGGUUUUGCUGUCACUUAUAGAUGGAUCCGCCCCGCAUUAGCUAGUUGGUAAGGUAACGGCUUACCAAGGCAACGAUGCGUAGCCGACCUGAGAGGGUGAUCGGCCACACUGGAACUGAGACACGGUCCAGACUCCUACGGGAGGCAGCAGUAGGGAAUCUUCCGCAAUGGGCGAAAGCCUGACGGAGCAACGCCGCGUGAGUGAUGAAGGUCUUCGGAUCGUAAAACUCUGUUAUUAGGGAAGAACAAAUGUGUAAGUAACUAUGCACGUCUUGACGGUACCUAAUCAGAAAGCCACGGCUAACUACGUG
RNAcentral lists this ribosomal RNA (497 nucleotides) under uncultured bacterium. RNAcentral's name for it is "partial 16S ribosomal RNA". It matches the Rfam family "Bacterial small subunit ribosomal RNA", at positions 28 to 507 of the family's 1533-position model. The record is from RNAcentral.